UACGUAUGGUGCAAGCGUUGUUCGGAAUCACUGGGCGUAAAGGGUGCGCAGGCGGACUGUUAAGUCGGGAGUGAAAACUGAGGGCUCAACCCUCAGCCUGCUUUCGAAACUGGCAGUCUGGAGUCCCGGAGAGGCAGGCGGAAUUCCCGGUGUAGCGGUGAAAUGCACAGAUAUCGGGAGGAACACCAAUGGCGAAGGCAGCCUGCUGGACGGAGACUGACGCUCAUGCACGAAAGCGUGGGGAUCAAACAGGAUUAGAACCUACCC
Molecule: ribosomal RNA, 267 nt
Filed under: uncultured bacterium
Lineage: Bacteria
Description: partial 16S ribosomal RNA
Rfam family: Bacterial small subunit ribosomal RNA
Source: RNAcentral